This 2141-nucleotide ribosomal RNA is filed under the name Salmonella enterica subsp. enterica serovar Infantis. RNAcentral's name for it is "partial 23S ribosomal RNA". It matches the Rfam family "Bacterial large subunit ribosomal RNA", at positions 161 to 2141 of the family's 2925-position model. Lineage: Bacteria; Pseudomonadati; Pseudomonadota; Gammaproteobacteria; Enterobacterales; Enterobacteriaceae. The record is from RNAcentral.
AAUCCAUAGGUUAAUGAGGCGAACCGGGGGAACUGAAACAUCUAAGUACCCCGAGGAAAAGAAAUCAACCGAGAUUCCCCCAGUAGCGGCGAGCGAACGGGGAGGAGCCCAGAGCCUGAAUCAGCAUGUGUGUUAGUGGAAGCGUCUGGAAAGGCGCGCGAUACAGGGUGACAGCCCCGUACACAAAAGCGCAUGUGCUGUGAGCUCGAUGAGUAGGGCGGGACACGUGGUAUCCUGUCUGAAUAUGGGGGGACCAUCCUCCAAGGCUAAAUACUCCUGACUGACCGAUAGUGAACCAGUACCGUGAGGGAAAGGCGAAAAGAACCCCGGCGAGGGGAGUGAAAAAGAACCUGAAACCGUGUACGUACAAGCAGUGGGAGCCCCACCACCAAAGCAUUCUCUGGUGUUGAAGGCCCUGCAAAGCAGCAUCGCGGUGGCGGAGCGUCGUUUGCGACGCCCAACACACAAAACAAGCGGUGAGUGCUUUGGGGUGGGGUGACUGCGUACCUUUUGUAUAAUGGGUCAGCGACUUAUAUUCUGUAGCAAGGUUAACCGAAUAGGGGAGCCGGAGGGAAACCGAGUCUUAAUUGGGCGUUAAGUUGCAGGGUAUAGACCCGAAACCCGGUGAUCUAGCCAUGGGCAGGUUGAAGGUUGGGUAACACUAACUGGAGGACCGAACCGACUAAUGUUGAAAAAUUAGCGGAUGACCUGUGGCUGGGGGUGAAAGGCCAAUCAAACCGGGAGAUAGCUGGUUCUCCCCGAAAGCUAUUUAGGUAGCGCCUCGUGAAUUCAUCUCCGGGGGUAGAGCACUGUUUCGGCUAGGGGGCCAUCCCGGCUUACCAACCCGAUGCAAACUGCGAAUACCGGAGAAUGUUAUCACGGGAGACACACGGCGGGUGCUAACGUCCGUCGUGAAGAGGGAAACAACCCAGACCGCCAGCUAAGGUCCCAAAGUCAUGGUUAAGUGGGAAACGAUGUGGGAAGGCCCAGACAGCCAGGAUGUUGGCUUAGAAGCAGCCAUCAUUUAAAGAAAGCGUAAUAGCUCACUGGUCGAGUCGGCCUGCGCGGAAGAUGUAACGGGGCUAAACCAUGCACCGAAGCUGCGGCAGCGAACGUAUCACUUAAAGCGAUUCAGCGGGUUACGAUUGACGGAGCGAAGCGACGUCAAAGCGUAUACAAAGUCGAGUCGGUUUAAGGAUACGUUCGUUGGGUAGGGGAGCGUUCUGUAAGCCUGUGAAGGUGUGUCGUGAGGCAUGCUGGAGGUAUCAGAAGUGCGAAUGCUGACAUAAGUAACGAUAAAGCGGGUGAAAAGCCCGCUCGCCGGAAGACCAAGGGUUCCUGUCCAACGUUAAUCGGGGCAGGGUGAGUCGACCCCUAAGGCGAGGCCGAAAGGCGUAGUCGAUGGGAAACGGGUUAAUAUUCCCGUACUUGGUGUUACUGCGAAGGGGGGACGGAGAAGGCUAUGUUGGCCGGGCGACGGUUGUCCCGGUUUAAGCGUGUAGGUGUGUGUUCCAGGUAAAUCCGGUUCACUUUAACACUGAGGCGUGAUGACGAGGCACUACGGUGCUGAAGCAACAAAUGCCCUGCUUCCAGGAAAAGCCUCUAAGCAUCAGGUAACAUCAAAUCGUACCCCAAACCGACACAGGUGGUCAGGUAGAGAAUACCAAGGCGCUUGAGAGAACUCGGGUGAAGGAACUAGGCAAAAUGGUGCCGUAACUUCGGGAGAAGGCACGCUGACAUGUAGGUGAAGUGAUUUACUCAUGGAGCUGAAGUCAGUCGAAGAUACCAGCUGGCUGCAACUGUUUAUUAAAAACACAGCACUGUGCAAACACGAAAGUGGACGUAUACGGUGUGACGCCUGCCCGGUGCCGGAAGGUUAAUUGAUGGGGUCAGCGCAAGCGAAGCUCCUGAUCGAAGCCCCGGUAAACGGCGGCCGUAACUAUAACGGUCCUAAGGUAGCGAAAUUCCUUGUCGGGUAAGUUCCGACCUGCACGAAUGGCGUAAUGAUGGCCAGGCUGUCUCCACCCGAGACUCAGUGAAAUUGAACUCGCUGUGAAGAUGCAGUGUACCCGCGGCAAGACGGAAAGACCCCGUGAACCUUUACUAUAGCUUGACACUGAACAUUGAGCCUUGAUGUGUAG